This 75-nucleotide transfer RNA is filed under the name Staphylococcus aureus. RNAcentral's name for it is "tRNA-Asn". It matches the Rfam family "tRNA". Rfam says of the family: Transfer RNA (tRNA) molecules are approximately 80 nucleotides in length. Lineage: Bacteria; Bacillati; Bacillota; Bacilli; Caryophanales; Staphylococcaceae. The record is from RNAcentral.
UCCACAGUAGCUCAGUGGUAGAGCUAUCGGCUGUUAACCGAUCGGUCGUAGGUUAGAGUCCUACCUGUGGAGCCA